UCGGUUGCUCCAAAAACAGAUGUCUAUAGACGUCAGUGUUUCAGGGGAUUCGACAUCUAUUCUACGUCAAAGAAGCUGAAAAGAUUGACGUUCGACUUCCUGUCAGGGUAGUUCAUGUCGGUGCCCCUCCUAGCCGAUGUCUAAAACCCUCGAAUUUGGUGAAAAUAAUCAAUUACAGGAACGUAGACGUCGCUUACGUUCAGAACCGACGUCUAAAUUGAAGAAUUUUUGUCUUCCCGCCUUCCAGACAGGC
RNAcentral lists this long non-coding RNA (253 nucleotides) under Vigna radiata. RNAcentral describes it as "long non-coding RNA (VRAD_LNC001823)". Lineage: Eukaryota; Viridiplantae; Streptophyta; Magnoliopsida; Fabales; Fabaceae. The record is from RNAcentral.